GUAUGUAUCGCUCAGUGGUAGAGCAUGUGCUUAGCAUGCCUUAAGGUCCUAGAUUCAAUCCCUAGUACUUCCA
Molecule: transfer RNA, 73 nt
Filed under: Camelus bactrianus (Bactrian camel)
Lineage: Eukaryota; Metazoa; Chordata; Mammalia; Artiodactyla; Camelidae
Also listed under: 2 other names
Rfam family: tRNA
About the family: Transfer RNA (tRNA) molecules are approximately 80 nucleotides in length. Their secondary structure includes four short double-helical elements and three loops (D, anti-codon, and T loops).
Source: Rfam by way of RNAcentral